AGUGAACGCUGGCGGUAGGCCUAACACAUGCAAGUCGAACGGCAACACAGUAAGAUCUUGCUCUGACGGGGUGCGAAUGGGGGACGGAUGAGGAAUACAUCGUAAUCUACUUUUUCGUGGAGGUUCACGUAGGGAAACUUACGCUAAUACCGCAUACGACCUACGGGGGAAAGCAGUGGAUCGUCUGACCGGUCGCGGUUGAAUUAGCUGAUGUUGGAUUAGCUAGUUGGCGGGUUAAAGGCCCACCCAGGCGACGAUCCGUAGCCGGUCUGAGAGGAUGGUAGGCCACCCUGGAACUGAGCCAGGGUCAAGAGUCCUAAGGGAGGCAGCAGUGGGGAAUGUUGGACAACGGGGGCAAGCAUGAUACAGUCAUACCGAGUGGGUGAAAGCGGCCUUGGGGUUGUAAAGACCUUUUGUUGGGAAAGAAAAGCAUCAGGUUAAUACCCAGCUGUACUGACGGUAACCAAAGAAUAAGCACCGGCUAACUUCGUG
This 492-nucleotide ribosomal RNA is filed under the name uncultured bacterium. RNAcentral's name for it is "partial 16S ribosomal RNA". It matches the Rfam family "Bacterial small subunit ribosomal RNA", at positions 29 to 507 of the family's 1533-position model. The record is from RNAcentral.